Molecule: ribosomal RNA, 225 nt
Filed under: uncultured bacterium
Lineage: Bacteria
Description: partial 16S ribosomal RNA
Rfam family: Bacterial small subunit ribosomal RNA
Source: RNAcentral
ACGCUCGACACCUACGGGAGGGCAGCAGUGAGGAAUAUUGGUCAAUGGGCGCAGGCCUGAACCAGCCAAGUAGCGUGAAGGAUGACUGCCCUAUGGGUUGUAAACUUCUUUUAUAUGGGAAUAAAGUUUUCCACGUGUGGAAUUUUGUAUGUACCAUAUGAAUAAGGAUCGGCUAACUCCGUGCCAGCAGCCGGACGGUAAUCUGAGGCGGGCGUGGACGAAGGC